CCCUCAAAGUGUUUUCUGGACUUGCUUUGUACCUGAUGCACAGGAACUGUUCUCACUGGCUUGAGUUGACUACUUGCCAUCUGUUCCCUGAGCAUUCAUUGCUGAAUGAAAGGGGAGAGAAAGUGAAAAGAGAGAUGGGGAGAAAGAGGAAGCUGGAGAAAUAGAGGAAACAGCUGGAAGCUGAGGAGGGUGUGAGACUCAUGUAAGGUCAGUAAAACAAAAAAACAGAGGGCAGGGUCAGGUCCUAGGGGUAGAGAGCUAAUUAACUUCUGCAAGCUAUUUGAUUAAAGCAUUGUAUACUUUGUUAAAGAGACCAAAGGUACUUCAAAGGAAAUUCUGGAUUCUUCUCCAUCUACCUUAGUAAAUUGUUCAUUGGGUCAAAAUCCAUCCUGCCCUCCUGGAAUUCUGGUUUUGUUUGUUCAGAUCUAAUUCUUGCUGCCAGUGCUCCGGCAGGUGAUGAAGUAUUUGUGGAGAGCAGUAGGUAAACUUGAUGCAUUUAUUAUUUAUGACUUAAAAAGUAAAUGU
Molecule: long non-coding RNA, 525 nt
Filed under: Marmota monax (woodchuck)
Lineage: Eukaryota; Metazoa; Chordata; Mammalia; Rodentia; Sciuridae
Source: RNAcentral